This 497-nucleotide ribosomal RNA is filed under the name uncultured bacterium. RNAcentral describes it as "partial 16S ribosomal RNA". It matches the Rfam family "Bacterial small subunit ribosomal RNA", at positions 28 to 507 of the family's 1533-position model. The record is from RNAcentral.
GAUGAACGCUGGCGGCGUGCCUAAUACAUGCAAGUCGAGCGAACGGACGAGAAGCUUGCUUCUCUGAUGUUAGCGGCGGACGGGUGAGUAACACGUGGAUAACCUACCUAUAAGACUGGGAUAACUUCGGGAAACCGUAGCUAAUACCGGAUAAUAUUUUGAACCGCAUGGUUCAAAAGUGAAAGACGGUCUUGCUGUCACUUAUAGAUGGAUCCGCGCUGCAUUAGCUAGUUGGUAAGGUAACGGCUUACCAAGGCAACGAUGCAUAGCCGACCUGAGAGGGGGAUCGGCCACACUGGAACUGAGACACGGUCCAGACUCCUACGGGAGGUAGCAGUAGGGAAUCUUCCGCAAUGGGCGAAAGCCUGACGGAGCAACGCCGCGUGAGUGAUGAAGGUCUUCGGAUCGUAAAACUCUGUUAUUAGGGAAGAACAUAUGUGUAAGUAACUGUGCACAUCGUGACGGUACCUAAUCAGAAAGCCACGGCUAACUACGUG